AAUUCAGGGGGAUGUAAAAAUCUGUCGUCUCAUCAAUUACCUAGGUUUAUUCAGUUGAUCUGUCCUCACCAUACCAUGUGGAUUCCUUCCUGAAGAGGUACACUCAGCAGAAGAAAUCAACCCUCCCUAAAAGAGGAAGACUGUUGUUUGGUUAAGACUGCAUGAGUACCUGAGUACCCCUGCUAGAACAUCAAAACAUGCUCACCAACUCAGGAGCCGGUAAGGAGUACCCUUGAACAUACAUGUGAUUUUAGAAAUAACUGAAAUAAUU
This 271-nucleotide small nuclear RNA is filed under the name Mus pahari (shrew mouse). RNAcentral's name for it is "sRNA (MGP_PahariEiJ_G0008397.1)". It matches the Rfam family "7SK RNA". Rfam says of the family: 7SK was discovered as an abundant small nuclear RNA in the mid-70s but a possible function has only recently been suggested. Two independent studies have found that 7SK RNA binds the CDK9/cyclin T complex (known as elongation factor P-TEFb). Lineage: Eukaryota; Metazoa; Chordata; Mammalia; Rodentia; Muridae. The record is from RNAcentral.